This 466-nucleotide ribosomal RNA is filed under the name uncultured bacterium. RNAcentral's name for it is "partial 16S ribosomal RNA". It matches the Rfam family "Bacterial small subunit ribosomal RNA", at positions 28 to 507 of the family's 1533-position model. The record is from RNAcentral.
GAUGAACGCUGGCGGCGUGCUUAACACAUGCAAGUCGAACGGAAAGGCUCCUGCUUGCAGGGGUACUCGAGUGGCGAACGGGUGAGUAACACGUGGGUGAUCUGCCCUGCACUUCGGGAUAAGCCUGGGAAACUGGGUCUAAUACCGGAUAGGACGAUGGUUUGGAUGCCAUUGUGGAAAGUUUUUCGGUGUGGGAUGAGCUCGCGGCCUCUCAGCUUGUUGGUGGGGUAAUGGCCUACCAAGGCGUCGACGGGUAGCCGGCCUGGGAGGGUGUACGGCCACAUUGGGACUGAGAUACGGCCCAGACUCCUACGGGAGGCAGCAGUGGGGAAUAUUGCACAAUGGGCGCAAGCCUGAUGCAGCGACGCCGCGUGGGGGAUGACGGCCUUCGGGUUGUAAACUCCUUUCGCUAGGGACGAAGCGUUUUGUGACGGUACCUGGAGAAGAAGCACCGGCUAACUACGUG